AAAACCUUGCAGGUACAUCCUUCAGUUGCUGCCGCGAUCACUCCGAGAACAUGCUGCGUUGUGUGUCGAGAAGGCUGUGGUAUCAGUUCAAGGACCUCAAAAGUAAGGUCGUCCUCGAAAAGCUCCGAAACUCAAAGCUGCAGGAAGGUGUCCACCCUUCUGACAUUGAUAUGGAGGAGCUGGCAAGGGAAAGCGGCAUUGCGCCGUCGAGUAGUGUCAAUGUGCAGGACUUUAUGCACGAGAAAGAGGCCGUGCUGGAGAUGCUGCAGGAUCAGCGACUGCGCCGCAUAGCACGGCGCGAAGCGUUUCUGGAGUGGCAAGCUGGGCAGCGCGAAAAAGGCGCCGCUCACCGUCUUGUUCGCCAAUCGCGCAAAGCAGAAAAGUACAAGCGCCGCCACUACCAUGCCACAAGUGGGCGAAUGCUGCCGAUAUCUCUUUCUCCGGAUGAAGCACCGCCAGGUCGCCGCAUGCCAGUGUCAAUGCCAAAGGCGUGCGUAUCGUCUACCGAGUUUCUACGAGGAGGCCCGGCAGAAGAUCGGCACGCCAUACACCUCUCUUUGGCGAAGAAGUGAAUGCCGUCAUCAGUACGUGUGCCGCUCUCCUUUCUGCAAUAUGUCCUUACACAAAAUGUACUGUUCUAAAAGAAAAAAGGAGCAAGGAUUGAAAGACUCCCUCUCAUCUCUGCUUGCCGCUUUUUUUUUGAGGGCGGUGAGGGCCACCAUUCCUUGCCGCACGACAAGGGACAGCAUUUGUACAGAUGUACAGGGAAGGGAAGGAUCAUGACUGCGAACGCAGCGGAAAGGAAUGGGAAGGGGGAUGCGAGGUGCGUUUUCCUGCUUCCUCUAUGCUGUUCUGCUUUGUCUAUGUGCGUCUCGUUUGCGUCUCUGUAACGGCAGAAGCCGCAGGAAGAGCUGCUCUCUUAGCGAUUCUUUCGCUGGGCGCCUACUUGCACACGACUCUCGCUGCUUUUCAUCCUUCUCUCAUGUCGUCCUCUGCACGGCGCGCACACGUGAGUGCCGAUGGACCUCUUUGCCCAG
This 1037-nucleotide unclassified non-coding RNA is filed under the name Leishmania donovani. Its description in RNAcentral is "gene:LdHU3.23.0090(CDS-product:hypothetical_prote in_conserved)". The record is from RNAcentral. Lineage: Eukaryota; Euglenozoa; Kinetoplastea; Trypanosomatida; Trypanosomatidae.